AUGGGAGGGGUGAUUUGUGUGGUAAUGAAUUUUCUCUUAUCUCGAUUAUAGAAGGACUUGGUUCUUCUAUGUGUUCUAACUACUACUAUUGCGGAAUAAUAAAUACAGAAAAUAAAGAACACAACGAUUUCAGUUGAAAAAUACCUGGCUCAAAAGUUGAAAAAACCAAAACCUACCUUCUAGUAGGAUUUUAUCAAACUCCACAUUAAAAUUAUUGAGUCAAAAAUUGCAUUUACAAAAUCUCUCGUGUAAACCUAGGAUUUAACUCUAAUCCCGUUGUAGCACACAACCUCAACUGUUACGACAACUUCAACUUAACUCUAACUUUAAAACUCUAAGUUCCUAAUACAAUUGCUUCUAAAUAAUCUAAAAGGUACAAUGUAAAAUCGCCUAUUACAAUUGAACUAGAACAAAAAAUAGAGAUUUGGAACUAGUUCUUCUAUCUGUUUUAAGUAGCUUCAAGUUUGCACGCUUGAAUCACACAUAAAUUGCUUGUAAAAUUGCCUUGCUAUUUUACUCUCAAUUCACGUUUAACUGAUGCUUAUGUGCAUUACCUGUAAAAGAGAACAACACUAACAUUUAAGAAGUUAGCAAUUAGAGAUUGACUAGGAUACUGAUGCUACUCUUCCAUGGUGGAAGAGUUCUAGUUUAUCUCAUACACUAACUCUAUCCUUUUCCUCAACUAUGUUCUCUUUGUGUAAGGCAUCUUUUUCCUUAUCCAAUAUGCAACCUUUUCGAUCAUGAUCAGGAUAUAUCACUUCUGAUAAGUUAGGCUUGUCUCCUACACGUGCAUAUCACAUGUUUGAGUUGAUCAUGACUGUGCUUCACAAGAUGGAGCUGGUCUAUGUUUGAGUUUCUUUGUCAUUCUUCAAAACUUCACCUUUACUUAGGCCAAUAGAACCAUAGCAAUGUAAAAUUUUGUGGUUCUAAAGGAGUAUGGUGCAAUCGUUUUUAAGAAUAUUAUACAGAUUUUGUCCUACUCUAGAUAUGUUAAGGCUAAGCCCUUCUUACAUUUGGCAUGAUCUAUACGACAUGAAUGAAAUAAGAAAAUACAUAACUUUCAUAAAUGACUCUAUUCAUAAAAGCAUUAGAGGUGCCUAUGUUCUUGAUUCUCCACGUGUUCUAUUAUUCUUUCAUUUAUUCAUGAAUCUCAAAAAGUACGUAAGUUGAUAAAGUUAACUAAGUGCUAAUCAAAGGAAAAAUCGUCUUAUGACACAAAAAAUAUAAUUUUAGUAUAUAUAUAUUAAUCAAAUGUCAACUUUGAACAGAUUUUGUUAUAGUUAUCAGACAAUCAUUGGUUAACACGUAAACAUAAAGUUUACAUACUACAAACUAUCAUAGGAAUAAUAUAAAGGAUCUUAUACUUUUUAAUCUUAAAUAUAAAAUUUACAUAAGAGAUGUUUAUUACUUUUAUAUAUNNNNNNNNNNNNNNNNNNNNNNNNNNNUAUAUAUAUAUUGUUUAAUAAAAAAACGCAAUUUGGUCAAAACUUGAAUUUUAGAGAUAAAAAAUCGGGUUACUGAUAAUCAAAGAGACCAAAAUAUAGUUGGCUUUCAAAGAAUAAGAAUAAAGUAAUAAGAACUUGUUAUUUCAAUAUGGUAUCAAGAGUGUACUGCGUGUCUAUAAAUGAUAAAACUUCCUCCUUUAAUAGUUGACAAGGAGUAACAGAAUAAUCUAAAUAAAAAGGAGCAUUUAAUGAGACGUUACAUAAUCAUUGCUAUUAAAUACUGAUUAUCUAACGUAUCAGGUAUUUAAUAAUGAAUGUAGACUACUUUUUGUCAUCAAAUUCUUGUCUUCAAUGCCCUUUUUUCCGUUGAUAUUGGAUGAAUUGAAUAGACACGAGACUCGUAUCUAAGAUUCCCUCUCGUGCCUAAUUUCUUUUCCUCCACCUUGCCUGUUGUCUUCCGUGCCUUUUAAUCAUUUGUUGUUCUUUGACUAUUUGACCAAUCCACGUGUCAUGCCACGUCAUCCUUAAUUCAAACUCAAUUUCCCCAAUACAGAUAGUCCCCCCACUUCUCAUUUAUUUAUCAAUUAAAUAAUUGGAAAGUAUAUCCUGAAAAAGAUUUUUUGUCACAAUUAAUGCUUGUGUCGGUAUAGACGUCUCAUCUGUCUUUCUCAUUUAAUGCUCUAUACACGUGUCAUCUUAUGGUUGAAUCUGUAGUUUUGUUCCCAUUUUUCUAGGCCUGUUCAACUUCCUCUGUUUACGAAGUGCUGGUUAUCUUUAAUAUAGACUUUCCAUCAUUUCUUCCAUUAAUUUUGACGGUUGUUCUCAUAUAAACCUCUAAUUCACACUUUCCUUGUCCUCUUCUUCAUCAAUUUCUGUCAAGCAUUUGCAUUUUCUUUCUUUCUUUCACUUCAAAGUUAUCUUACAAUGGCAUAUCCAAACCCUGACUCCAGAAAGGUUUUACUUCUCGAUCAAUUCCAUAAUGCACCUGUUCCUAUCAAACAUUGAAGAGGCCGAUGAGGAAGACUCCGAAGUAUGGGAUCUACACGGGGUUGGCUCAACUGGUUCUGUACUUCCUUCUUCUGGUUCUGGAAUCAAAGGCUCCUCUUCUAAAACUCAAUCUUCGAAAGUUAAAGAAAUUUCAGACCCUUCUUUAGAACCCACAAUCGAAGAAAUUAUACCAAACGGUUUAUCUUUUGCAAGUGAUAAAUCAUCCCUUCAAAAACAUAUUGCAAAAUUGAAAAAGACUGAUCAUUAUCCUUCUCUUAUAACUGAAUUUACAGUCCCUACCAUUAAGAAAGAUUGCAACUGGAAGGAGAGCGUUCGUUUAUCAAUCCCUUCUAUAAACAAUAGAAUUUCAUCUUAUAGAAAUGGGUAUUCCUAUGUUUAUACCUUCCCCUUCACUUUGGGAUUUAAGCAUGCCAUAGACCCAGUUAUCAUUGAUUUUUGUAGAUUUUCCAACAUUUGCUUAGCCCAGAUUGGACCUUUAGUUUGGAGGGUUGUAGCUUGUUUAAGGUUUUUGUCCAAUAAGGCAAAAGUUACUUUUAGCUUCCCCCAUCUUAUCCACUUAUACCACCCUAGUUUAUUACGCCAUGGGGUUUUUACCUUAACUGCAAGGAGUAAAAGAGUUUUGGUAAACGCCGAUGACGAUAAAGAUCGAGGGUGGUAUCUUCAUUGGUGUUCGCACAAUGGUUUACUGGGAGAAUCGAACAUUCCCUUCUCCGAGAUGUGGAAUUUUGCACAUAAGUUUCCGUUUUACUUUUCCCAUACCUAUUUUAUGAGAUUUGGAUUUUCUCUUUAAAUUUAUCCCCUUUUUGGGUUUUCUGUAGCAACCACUGGAGAUGUGGAAUCCGUUCCCAAUUUUCGUGGUUGGAUAGACUCAAAUUUGAAAAUUGCUCCUAUAGAAGAUAGGACUUGGAAAUCUAUCUCUUCUUUACAUAGGUGGACAGUGAAGUCACACGGUAUAUAUAUUUCUUUUCAUGUAUGCUUUCUAGAUACGUAUACUAAAUUUUGAUGAUGAACUCAAAUGCUUCUUUUUAUCAGGAUUUGGAAUAAAAGGGAUGACAACAGACGUUGCUAUAGCCAUGCGUACUACUACCAACACCGCCCUUGGCUUGGACAAGGCUAAAGCACUCUUAGGCAAAAGAAAAGCUAUGAUAUUGGAAACUAAUAACGAAGAAGAAGAUAAUACCUCUUUGGUAUCUAGAUCAAGAGCUAGGAGACGUGUUGUUAUGGAUGAGGAAAUUGAAGAUUCUCCUGCCCGUAUCUCUGCUGCAAUUGCUUCUUUUUCAGUUACUUCCAUUACCGAUCCUGUCUUAAUACAAUCCGAUGAAGAUCUUGCUCCUAGAGACACGAUGAAUCUGUUCACCGUCUCUUCGAGAGUGGUUUUGAAAGUGGGGAACUUGGCCCCCUUCUCAAUGAAAUUUCCCUAUGUACUUCCAUUCCUAUUUCUCCAGUUUCUUAUAUUUCUCCUUCAACAGUACCUGCUUCUUCCCCUUUAACAUCUUCCACUGUUCUUACAACUUCUUCUCUUGUUCCUUUUUAGCCCUCGUGCCUAUUCCCUCAGCUCCUGUUCUGGUUUCUGCCGCUCCUAUUGUUGUCACCCCCUCUACUACUCCUCCUUCCACUAUUCCUUCCUCCUUUGUUCCUCAUUCUGAACCUGGCCCAAACAACAGAGGUACGACUGUGAGAAAGGUUACUAUUGAAGUACCUGCUAUUCAUAGUCUUUUAAGGAAGACAGGUGGAGCUGAUGUCUGGCUCGAGCCUCUUAUCGGAGAAGUGGAAAGAACAAAGAUGCAGAGCCAUAGCUGCUACACCUUGAUGAAUGACAUGGUUCAUUCAACACUGAAGGUACAUUCCUUACCCGUGAUUAUUUACUUUUCCUUGGCCUUUAGUUCUUAUCUUUAUGCGUUAUGUAUGUAGGCAAACUUGAACGGUACUGAGUCGAUUUCAACACUGAAGGUACAUUCCUUACCCGUGAUUAUUUACUUUUCCUUGGCCUUAAGUUCUUAUCUCUAAGCCUUAUGUUUACUGGCAAACUUGACCGGAAUUAAGUUGAUGGGGAGGAUCUAUAUUUUAGAGAAAAUGGCACGUGAAUCUACUAAGGCUGCUGAGGAUACUAAAAGAAAAUAUGAAGAAGUCCAGCAUGAGGCUCAAUAUUGGAAGGAACAAUUCGAAGGUGCUUUAGGGAGCAUUGAAGAGUUGCAGUCUUCUAAGUUUCAACUUGAACAGCAAAAUCGGGCUUUAUCCUUAGAAUUAGGAUUGCCAUGGCUUCUACGAGCCAAGCAAAAAAGGAUAAAGAGAUUUUGAAGGAUUCUUUGUCAAAGGCUACUGAAGAAAUCAAAGAACCAAUGGAGAAAAAUGAAGAAUAUGCCAAAGAACUAGUGCAAUCUUUGAACCAGACUCGGGAUCACUUGAGGAUUUUUUCAGAUAAGGUUCGUGUGUUGGAGAGUUCUUGUGUCAACCUUCAAUCUUCCCUUUAUUUCUACUUAGCUGAGCAUGAAAAAAUGAAGAAAACCUUAGCUACGUGGGGAAGAGAUUAUGAAAAUCUGGAGAAGGGUUACAAUUCCUUUGCUGAGAAUUUCAAUUAUGAGGUUAACUGGGCUUUCUUGAAAUCUCGUCGUGAUGCUUUAAAGGAGGCUUCUCAAGAAAGGUUUGACUUGCAAUCUGAGUUGGCCAAAGUUUUAGACAUGAUUGAGAAGAAUGAGCAACCUACUGAAACUCCUUCUCCUGAUCAGGUAAUUGACAUCUCCUCUCCAACAGUUGAAACUCCCAGGGUUGAAGAGCCUUUGAACUUAGAGUCAACAACUGAAGUAUUGAAGUUAUAGUUCCAGUGACCGGGGGUACUUACCUACGACACAAUCUUUGGGAAUGGAAAUCCCCGUGUCUACUACUUCUCUCGAGAAUGUCGAUACUUCAACUUUAGCUGAGACUGCCUCUAUUGCUGCUCCUUUGGAAGUUUCUACCGAGCCUAAUGAGGGUACGACUUCUAGCGUUCCAAUUUCCUCAGUGACCAGUGAAAAUGUUUAACCUUACUUCUUUUGUUUGUUUUUCGAUGAUGUAAUUUCUUAAUGAAGUCCCCAAUUUCUAUAACGGGGCAUCUGUUUUGAAAAACAAAUGUAUUGUAAUAGCUUAACUUUUUAUGUUGAGAAGUUUGUAUAAUACUUCUUUAUUUUAUCCUUGUCUAUUCACUGUUCUAGACUUUGAAGGAUAAUUUUAUUAUUACCUUACUCUUGCCUAUUUUUCUUUUUAGGACUUAGAGAAUAAGUUAGCAUUUUUAUCCUAAAUAAUUUUAUUUUUACCUUACUCUUGCCUAUUUUUGUUUUUAGGACUUAGAGAAUAUGUUAGCAUUUUUAUCCUUUUCAGGAAAUGCUUUCAAAAUUCUUCUCAUGUGUUAUCAUCAUGAGGAAAAAAUAAAAGAGGGCCCUUUUAUUUAUCGACACUUGAUAAAAAAGACGUCUCAACUUUGUAAUGGUGUUAUCAUAUGAUGAAAGAAAUAGGAACAUAUACGUUUCAUAUAAAAUAACUUUUGUAAAGUAGUUUUUAUUCAUGAACUUUAAUAAGUUUCUUGAGUAUUGCAUGUAUUGAACCACAUCUACAACUUUUUCGCAACUGUUUUCUUUUAACAGAUUUACAAAAUAUACAAGGUAAGGUUUUUCAUAACCUGUUUCUGAUACAUAGUCAUGUCCUUGCCUUUACAUACUAAGGAAGGGUUUAAGCAAUGACUUCAUUGUUCUGAGAAGGAAAGGACACUAUGAUGAGUGCUUUUAGAUUGAUACUUUAAUGAUUAAUACUUGAAAUCUCGUAACUUGAUUUGAUAUGUAAAUUUUGAAUUUUGCUCUCUCGUAUCUAUUUCUGUACAUACUCGUAUGUAUAUAGUAUAGUUCCCCAAGUGUUUGAGCGGUGAAGUAUGAAGCCUCGAACACUUGUGUAUUUGCUCUCAAUUUUUGGUCCUUUUCCUGAAAUAGAAAAAUAUACGGGACUCGGAGGUGCGAUUAUAGAUGUUUGGUCCUUUCCUGAAUCAAAAAAAUAUAUCCUGAAUCAAAAAAAUAUACGGGACUCGAAGGUGCAUUAUAGAUGAAGAAUGCCUAACGCGUGUGUAUUUCCAUCAGAUUAAUGUAACCCUGGGCUAGGAAUUUAAGAGUAUUCCAUUUUGCUGUGCAGGCCGUGACUCAUCAUUUGGCACGAGUUAGGGUUUUUGCCUAGCAUCUAAAAUCGCUAGUAUAAUUUUAACAAUUCAAAGGAAAAAAUUGAACAUGGUGAUACCAGACCGUGGGUACUUCCUUAGAAGUAAUGCCUCUUUAAAUGAACGGCAUUCCAAUGCGAAGGUAAAACUUUGCCAUCCAUUGUCUCUAGCUCGUAUGCUCCUUUUCCCGAAAUUUCAUGAAUUUGAUAAGGUCUUUCUCACGUUGGACUUAGCUUUCCUGUGUUGGCUAACUUCGUAGAUUGGAAAACGUUUUUCAACACGAAGUCCCCAACUUUAAAAAACCUGAGGCGUGUUUUCCUAUUAUAAUAUCGCUCAAUUACUUGUUUUUGAGCCGCCAUCCUUAUCAACGCAGCUUCUCUUCUACCUUCAAGUAGAUCAAGAUUUACUCGUAACUCUUCGUUGUUCGAGUUUUCCUCUGCUUGAACACGUCUGUACUAGGUUCACCAAUCUCAACUGGUAUCAAAGCUUCCGCUCCAUAAACCAUUGAAAAUGGUGUUUCUCCUGUACUUGUUUUUGCCGUCGUUCGAUAUGCACAUAACACCGCUGGUAAUACUUCAGGCCAAUUGUCUUUUGAUUCUUGUAACCUUUUCUUUAGGUUGUUAAUAAUUACUUUGUUUGUAGACUCUGCUUGCCCAUUAUCUACUGGAUGAUACGGUGUCGAUGUAAUUCUUUUGAUUUGCUAACUUUGAAAGAAUUCUGUGACUUGAGCUACUAUGAAUUAUGGUCCAUUAUCACACACUAUCUCCUUUGGAACUCCAGAGCGUCAAAUUAUAUUUCUCCAAAGGAAGUCCUUAACUUCUUUCUCUCGUACAUGUUUAAACGCUCCUGCUUCUACCCAUUUAGUGAAAUAAUCAGUAAGAACGAGUAGAAACGCGCUCUUGCUUCUACCCAUUUAGUGAAAUAAUCAGUAAGUACGAGUAGAAACUUUACCUGACUUUUUUCCUGAGGUAAUGGUCCUACGAUGUCCAUUCCCCAUUUCAUGAAGGAACAUGGAGCUAUGACAGGAUGAAAUAACUCAGCUGGUCUAUGCAUGUUAUUUCCAUACCUUUGACAUUUAUCACACUUAGAUACGAAAUCAUUCGUUUCUUCUUCCAUUUUAGGCCAGUAAUAUCCCGCUCGAAUCAAUGUUUUUACAAAUGAUCUACCUCCUGUAUGAUUUCCACAAUGCCCCUCAUUUACUUCUCUCAUCACAUAUUGUCACACCUCAUUUUUUCGCUAUACCCCCAGCAAAGGGAGCGUAAAGGAGUUUUUCAAUUAAAGGACAAUCGGAACGGAUUUGAUUAUUAAAGAUUCAGAGUUGCCACUUGGGAGUUUUAUGGUGUCCCAAGUCACCGGUUUAAUCCCGAACCGAGGAAAUGAUUGACUCUGUAUUACAGUCUGCGAACAAGAAAUCUGGAUAGGAAAUUCUGUUAACCCGAGAGAAGGUGUUUGGCAUUCCCGGAUUCCGUGGUUCUAGCACGGUCGCUUAAAUAUUGUAUUUGAUUUUAUCUGAUUUUAAUACAUGCUAACUUAUGUGCCUUUUAUUUAUAUACCGCNNNNNNNNNNNNNNNNNNNNNNNNNNNNNNNNNNNNNNNNNNNNNNNNNNCUAACUUAUGUGCCUUUUAUUUAUAUACCGCUUUUACCAUUAUUUAUUUUAAAAGACUUGCGACGUCGUGAAAACACGUCUCUGACCACGUCGCCAUCAUGGCACCCGUGGUCGUCAACACAUUUCGACUUCGUCGAGAUUUGGAUUUGGUUCGCAUCAAUGCGCACCCGAGUUUAAGAACAUAAAUUAAGUAAAUCGUGUUUAAAGGUUCUAACAUAAUAUUGUUUGGGAAAUGCCUUUGAAAUUCACUAAACGGCCCUUCCGAAUUCUAAUCAUUUUAAUAACCAAAUAUUAAGGGCCUCACAUUUAUUUUUGUUCGGUGAGGCUCGUCUCGAUUUUUUAACCCUUUUUUAUCAUUAUUUAUUUUAUAAGAAUUACGACGUCAUGAAAACGCAUUUCUAACAGGGUUUCCAUCAAGGCACCCGUGAUUAUCAACACAUUUCGACUUCGUCGAGAUUUGGAUUUGGGUCGCAUCAAUGCGCACCCGAGUUUAAGAAAAAAAUUUACUUAAAUCGCGCCUAAAGAUUCUAACGCGUUGUUAUCUUCGCGAGGGCCAUGAAAAUUUAACUAAUGGUACACCUUGAUUUCUAAAGAGUUAAAAUUAAUUAAGCUAGGGCCAUGUAUAGAAAAAUUAUUGUAGAAAGAGGGUAGAUUUCAAUUAUUAGAAUUAUCUAUGUGGAACAAACUUUAUUGAUUAAGAAGAUAGACAAGCUGGAAUAUUAUUGAUGAAAUGAAUUUCAUUUAAAUCAUUGACUUAUUUACUUUCCUAUUCUAACAAGUUCCUAGAAUACUCUUUUUUUUAAAUUCCAUCUAUUUAUAAAUGUAUAUGGAGGGAUACGAGCAACAAAAUAGAUAAAGAACAUGAAUAAGAUGACAUACUAGACAUCAAACUUAUUUUCGUCCAUGUACUAAUAAAACUAGUACAAGGAAAACUAUCCAAAAGAGGAUCAACAGAUAAAAAAAACAAUCCAUUCACUUUCUCAAAACUUCCACUUGAGCAAAUAAAACCAUCAUUUCAUUGAAUUGAUUAUAUUUUACCAUUUAUCUAAGAACAAAUUUCCUAAAUAAUUCAAACCAAACAGGCCGAGCAACAGUACACUCUCUUACUCAUAUCCACAUAUUUUCCUAACUAAGAGAUCAAAUUUUUUACAAACUUUUCAACAUCAAAUUUAGAUUCUUCAUCAAAACCAAAAAGAAAAUCGCAAUACCAAAGCAUAAUACAGUUGAAACCAAAAGUACAUAUAAAACGUUUCAACAACAAAUUUAGAAUCUUCAUCAAAACCAAAAGAAAAUCACAAUACCAAAGCAUAAUACAGUAGAAACCAAUAGUACAUAUUUAUUAAAGAGCUGAGAAAAGCUAAACAAAACAGACCCAAAUGAAAAGGAAUAAGGGACUUACGAACUUUUGAAAAUUCUCUUGUAAAUCAAGACAAGGACAGAAACCGGGAAUAAUAAACCCGAAGCCAGAACCACCAUCGGUGACGCCGAACGGAAUACCUAUCUUUUGGUUGUAGCAAGAUGGUUUUAUAAAGGGUGUGAGGUGUGGUGUUAUGUGAGGGAGUUUUA
This 9799-nucleotide long non-coding RNA is filed under the name Nicotiana benthamiana. Its description in RNAcentral is "long non-coding RNA (NBEN_LNC023179)". Lineage: Eukaryota; Viridiplantae; Streptophyta; Magnoliopsida; Solanales; Solanaceae. The record is from RNAcentral.